AUAAGCAUAUCAAUAAGCGGAGGAAAAGAAACUAACAAGGAUUCCCCUAGUAACUGCGAGUGAAGCGGGAAAAGCUCAAAUUUAAAAUCUGGCAGUCUUUGACUGUCCGAGUUGUAAUCUAGAGAAGUAUUAUCCGCGCUGGACCGUGUACAAGUCUCCUGGAAUGGAGCGUCAUAGAGGGUGAGAAUCCCGUCUUUGACACGGACUGCCAGGGCUUUGUGAUGUGCUCUCAAAGAGUCGAGUUGUUUGGGAAUGCAGCUCAAAAUGGGUGGUAAAUUCCAUCUAAAGCUAAAUAUUGGCGAGAGACCGAUAGCGAACAAGUACCGUGAGGGAAAGAUGAAAAGAACUUUGGAAAGAGAGUUAAACAGUACGUGAAAUUGCUGAAAGGGAAACGCUUGAAGUCAGUCACGUUGGCCAGGGAUCAACCUUGCUUUUUUGCUUGGCUUACUUUCUGGUCGAUGGGUCAGCAUCAAUUUUGACUGGUGGAAAAAGUUCAAGGGAAUGUGGCAUCUUCGGAUGUGUUAUAGCCUUUGUUCACAUACAUCAGUUGGGAUUGAGGAACUCAGCACGCCGCAAGGCCGGGUUUUUAACCACGUACGUGCUUAGGAUGCUGGCAUAAUGGCUUUAAUCGACCCGUCUUGAAACACGGACCAAGGAGUCUAACAUGCCUGCGAGUGUUUGGGUGAAAAACCCGAGCGCAUAAUGAAAGUGAAAGUUGAGAUCCCUGUCGUGGGGAGCAUUGACGCCCGGAUCUGACCUUUUGUGACGAUUCUGCGGUAGAGCAUGCAUGUUGGGACCCGAAAGAUGGUGAACUAUGCCUGAAUAGGGUGAAGCCAGAGGAAACUCUGGUGGAGGCUCGUAGCGAUUCUGACGUGCAAAUCGAUCGUCAAAUUUGGGUAUAGGGGCGAAAGACUAAUCGAACCA
RNAcentral lists this ribosomal RNA (924 nucleotides) under Laccaria sp. AWW584. Its description in RNAcentral is "eukaryotic LSU rRNA". It matches the Rfam family "Eukaryotic large subunit ribosomal RNA", at positions 34 to 942 of the family's 3401-position model. The record is from RNAcentral. Lineage: Eukaryota; Fungi; Basidiomycota; Agaricomycetes; Agaricales; Hydnangiaceae.